AGGGAACUGGAAAGUGGAGGAGCUGAAAGCAGUCUGCAUGGAUGAUGCUGUAACCUCUCUGGGCAGCUCUGUGCCCACCUGAGCUGGGCUAGGCUGUGGAGGAACAGAUGGCACGUGCCAGUCUCGAUGACCUCUCCAUUUACUUCACACUGACUGAGCACCCACCAUGUACCAAGCCCCAUGCUGCCAGCCUUGCUAACAGUCUAGUCUGGGAGGUCUUCAAUCCUUGGAAUGACAGAACUGACUGCAUCUCUGAAAGAAACCCCCUCCAUAUCUUGGGAAAGAAGGUCAAUGCUGCCCAGUUUCACGGCCUCAGGUAUACUAUCAGCCCCUAUUGGGCUGCUCUCCAAGUGCCCAGAAGAACUUAAAGACAGACCACAGAGUGCAGAAUAUCAGAACUGUGCAAAGAACAUAUAAGGAGACUAAAGUUCACUAGAGGAGCGCUCUGAGUUUGCUGUCAUACCAUCCCAGCACCUAGCAAAGAGUCUGGGAAGUACUCAGCUGGAUCUCUAAUUGGUUCCAGGAAGUCCGGCCACAAGCUGG
Molecule: long non-coding RNA, 543 nt
Organism: Bos taurus (domestic cattle)
Lineage: Eukaryota; Metazoa; Chordata; Mammalia; Artiodactyla; Bovidae
Source: Ensembl